GGGGAGUUAGCGAAGUGGCUAAACGCGGGUGGCUGUAAACCAUCUCCUUACGGUUCGGCGGUUCGAAUCCGUCACUCCCCACCA
This 84-nucleotide transfer RNA is filed under the name Spiroplasma cantharicola. RNAcentral's name for it is "tRNA-Tyr". It matches the Rfam family "tRNA". From Rfam's summary of the family: Transfer RNA (tRNA) molecules are approximately 80 nucleotides in length. Their secondary structure includes four short double-helical elements and three loops (D, anti-codon, and T loops). Lineage: Bacteria; Bacillati; Mycoplasmatota; Mollicutes; Entomoplasmatales; Spiroplasmataceae. RNAcentral also lists the same sequence under 2 other names. The record is from RNAcentral.